RNAcentral lists this ribosomal RNA (494 nucleotides) under uncultured bacterium. Its description in RNAcentral is "bacterial SSU rRNA". It matches the Rfam family "Bacterial small subunit ribosomal RNA", at positions 33 to 507 of the family's 1533-position model. The record is from RNAcentral.
AGGACGACGCUGGCGGUGUGCUUAACACAUGCAAGUGGUGCGACGAACCAGAGCUUGCUCUGGGGCAAAGCCGCGAACGGGUGAGUAACACGUGGGUAAUCUACCCCGAUGACCGGGACAACCCGAGGAAACUCGGGCUAAUACCGGAUGUGGUACGGAGACAUAAGUCUCUUUACUAAAGGUAGCUUCGGCUUCCGCAUUGGGAGGGGCCCGCGGCCCAUUAGCUAGUUGGUGGGGUCAAGGCCUACCAAGGCAACGAUGGGUAGCUGGUCUGAGAGGACGAUCAGCCACACUGGGACUGAGACACGGCCCAGACUCCUACGGGAGGCAGCAGUGGGGAAUCUUGCGCAAUGCGCGAAAGCGUGAUGCAGCAACACCGCGUGAGGGAAGACGGCCUUAGGGUUGUAAACCUCUUUCAGAUGGGACGAAGGUGAUGCGGUGAAUAGCCGAUGUCAUUGACGGUACCGUCAGAAGAAGCUCCGGCUAACUACGUG